UGGGGAAUCUUCCGCAAUGGACGAAAGUCUGACGGAGCAACGCCGCGUGAGUGAUGACGGCCUUCGGGUUGUAAAGCUCUGUUAAUCGGGACGAAUGGUUCUUGUGCGAAUAGUGCGAGGAUUUGACGGUACCGGAAUAGAAAGCCACGGCUAACUACGUGCCAGCAGCCGCGGUAAUACGUAGGUGGCAAGCGUUGUCCGGAAUUAUUGGGCGUAAAGCGCGCGCAGGCGGAUUGGUCAGUCUGUCUUAAAAGUUCGGGGCUUAACCCCGUGAUGGGAUGGAAACUGCCAAUCUAGAGUAUCGGAGAGGAAAGUGGAAUUCCGAGUGUAGCGGUGAAAUGAGUAGAUAUUAGGAAGAACACCAGUGGCGAAGGCGACUUUCUGGACGAAAACUGACGCUGAGGCGCGAAAGCAAGGGGAGCGAACGGG
Molecule: ribosomal RNA, 429 nt
Filed under: bacterium
Lineage: Bacteria
Description: partial 16S ribosomal RNA
Rfam family: Bacterial small subunit ribosomal RNA
Source: RNAcentral